Molecule: non-coding RNA, 153 nt
Organism: Marchantia polymorpha subsp. ruderalis
Lineage: Eukaryota; Viridiplantae; Streptophyta; Marchantiopsida; Marchantiales; Marchantiaceae
Source: the annotation of a GenBank genome assembly
GAGUUGAGCAGAACCUUGAUCAAGGUCAUCAUCGACAGGAUACUUACCAUUCUAUUUUCGUUGAUAGAUACAACGAAGAUAGAACGGACAACGAAUAUAGAACGGAAAGUAUCCUGUCGAUGAUAAACUUGCGGGUGUGUUCUUAUCAACCUC